GCAUUGGGACCACCACUUGUCUGUGUAGGUGCCUUGCUAGGCCAGCCUGCUGUGUACCUGAUCAGGUGCAGACAACCCAUCCAUGCCUUGGAGGUCUGCCAGAUGUUCUGGCAGACAGAUGAGCUGUCAGUGUUCAGGUGGGUCCAAGCAGUGGGCAUCUGGUGAUGAUGUCACAAUGCUGGAGCCAGGACAUGGGCUCCUGGCAGGACCAGGCUCUUUGGAAAGAGGAGCCUAUGAGAAUGGCCAGCAACUGUUGUCAGAGGAGAGAAAUGCUCAUUGGUGCUGCAGCAGAGUCCGCAGGCUGCAGAUAGACAGUGGUGAUGCUGAGGAACCGGGGGAGGAGCACUCAGAGGAACUGUCCACAGAGGAGCUUCAGAAACGUCUGGAUGAGCAAUGGGGAAUGGCAGCUGAGGGGCUUUCUGAAGAGGAGGGGGAGUGUCAACAAUCAGAGCGGCAAAGUUCUUCUGAAAUAAAGGAAAUCCUGAAAAAAUGGACAGAGCCACAGACAUUUAUAGAGAAGACCCACCCGGACAGAGAAAACGCCACCUGUUGUUUUUACUUACUUAAUAAUGAUGUCAUGUCCUACUACAGAACAGCGUUAAAUAAAAGACAGAAACAGACAACCUCAGACCAGUUUUUAGUUCUGAAAAGGUCGAGACCUAGUGAUCCUGAAGCAGGUCCUAGUGUGCUACAGAUUCUACCCAGGAGAGAAAGGACACCAGAGAGGCAGGUUCCGGAUGUUCUUAUGGAAGGGGACCCUCCUUCCAAACAAAAACCACCUUCCAUUUCAUCCUUCCUUCCUCAAGCCAAAGAUGUCAACUUGCAUGUGCCAACAAAGAUUUCCUUCCCGGUUAGAUGGGCACCAGGCUUUAUGGAAUCUUCUGUAGGAACAGCUCUCUUUGGGUCCACUACACGCCCAUCAACUUUGGUCGAGCACAUUGCUGCAUUGAUCUCUUCAACACAAGAGUAAGUCAAAAGACCAAAGCCCCUGGAAGUGUUUUGUUGGGGUAUCUCAUUACCACACACUCUGUGAGUGUGCCCCAUUUCUCAAAAUGUUCUCUUAAACUAUCAUCUGUAGUUUAAAGGCUCAGACCACCGAUAGACAGCUUCCUCAACUGCUCUGGUUCCUUCGGAUCAUGGCUCUCCCCCUCCCUGCGGUGGCAAUGGCUGGAAUUGGGCUGGAGGGCGACUGGGCUGUGGUUUUACCUCCAUUUUGAGACUGGACUGGCCUCUUCCAACCCUUAAAACAGCUUUUGUCAUACACAUGCACAUUAUUAAAUCCACU
Molecule: long non-coding RNA, 1285 nt
Filed under: Fukomys damarensis (Damara mole-rat)
Lineage: Eukaryota; Metazoa; Chordata; Mammalia; Rodentia; Bathyergidae
Description: lncRNA (ENSFDAG00000021958.1)
Source: RNAcentral